RNAcentral lists this ribosomal RNA (1320 nucleotides) under Bacillus vallismortis. Its description in RNAcentral is "bacterial SSU rRNA". It matches the Rfam family "Bacterial small subunit ribosomal RNA", at positions 32 to 1335 of the family's 1533-position model. The record is from RNAcentral. Lineage: Bacteria; Bacillati; Bacillota; Bacilli; Caryophanales; Bacillaceae.
AACGCUGGCGGCGUGCCUAAUACAUGCAAGUCGAGCGGACAGAUGGGAGCUUGCUCCCUGAUGUUAGCGGCGGACGGGUGAGUAACACGUGGGUAACCUGCCUGUAAGACUGGGAUAACUCCGGGAAACCGGGGCUAAUACCGGAUGCUUGUUUGAACCGCAUGGUUCAAACAUAAAAGGUGGCUUCGGCUACCACUUACAGAUGGACCCGCGGCGCAUUAGCUAGUUGGUGAGGUAAUGGCUCACCAAGGCAACGAUGCGUAGCCGACCUGAGAGGGUGAUCGGCCACACUGGGACUGAGACACGGCCCAGACUCCUACGGGAGGCAGCAGUAGGGAAUCUUCCGCAAUGGACGAAAGUCUGACGGAGCAACGCCGCGUGAGUGAUGAAGGUUUUCGGAUCGUAAAGCUCUGUUGUUAGGGAAGAACAAGUGCCGUUCGAAUAGGGCGGCACCUUGACGGUACCUAACCAGAAAGCCACGGCUAACUACGUGCCAGCAGCCGCGGUAAUACGUAGGUGGCAAGCGUUGUCCGGAAUUAUUGGGCGUAAAGGGCUCGCAGGCGGUUUCUUAAGUCUGAUGUGAAAGCCCCCGGCUCAACCGGGGAGGGUCAUUGGAAACUGGGGAACUUGAGUGCAGAAGAGGAGAGUGGAAUUCCACGUGUAGCGGUGAAAUGCGUAGAGAUGUGGAGGAACACCAGUGGCGAAGGCGACUCUCUGGUCUGUAACUGACGCUGAGGAGCGAAAGCGUGGGGAGCGAACAGGAUUAGAUACCCUGGUAGUCCACGCCGUAAACGAUGAGUGCUAAGUGUUAGGGGGUUUCCGCCCCUUAGUGCUGCAGCUAACGCAUUAAGCACUCCGCCUGGGGAGUACGGUCGCAAGACUGAAACUCAAAGGAAUUGACGGGGGCCCGCACAAGCGGUGGAGCAUGUGGUUUAAUUCGAAGCAACGCGAAGAACCUUACCAGGUCUUGACAUCCUCUGACAAUCCUAGAGAUAGGACGUCCCCUUCGGGGGCAGAGUGACAGGUGGUGCAUGGUUGUCGUCAGCUCGUGUCGUGAGAUGUUGGGUUAAGUCCCGCAACGAGCGCAACCCUUGAUCUUAGUUGCCAGCAUUCAGUUGGGCACUCUAAGGUGACUGCCGGUGACAAACCGGAGGAAGGUGGGGAUGACGUCAAAUCAUCAUGCCCCUUAUGACCUGGGCUACACACGUGCUACAAUGGACAGAACAAAGGGCAGCGAAACCGCGAGGUUAAGCCAAUCCCACAAAUCUGUUCUCAGUUCGGAUCGCAGUCUGCAACUCGACUGCGUGAAGCUGGAAUCGC